RNAcentral lists this ribosomal RNA (476 nucleotides) under uncultured Acholeplasma sp. RNAcentral's name for it is "bacterial SSU rRNA". It matches the Rfam family "Bacterial small subunit ribosomal RNA", at positions 901 to 1382 of the family's 1533-position model. Lineage: Bacteria; Bacillati; Mycoplasmatota; Mollicutes; Acholeplasmatales; Acholeplasmataceae. The record is from RNAcentral.
UUAAAGGAAUUGACGGGACCCCGCACAAGCGGUGGAUCAUGUUGUUUAAUUCGAUGAUACGCGAAGAACCUUACCAGGUCUUGACAUCCCCCGCGAUGCUUUAGAGAUAAAGCGGAGGUAUUCGGGGAGACAGGUGGUGCAUGGUUGUCGUCAGCUCGCGUCGUGAGAUGUUGGGUUAAGUCCCGCAACGAGCGCAACCCCUAUUGCUAGUUACCAUCAUUAAGUUGGGGACUCUAGCGAGACUGCCAGUGAUAAACUGGAGGAAGGUGGGGAUGACGUCAAAUCAUCAUGCCCCUUAUGACCUGGGCUACAAACGUGAUACAAUGGCUGGAACAAAGGGAUGCGAAGCAGUGAUGUGGAGCGAAACCCAUAAAAACAGUCUCAGUUCGGAUUGAAGUCUGCAACUCGACUUCAUGAAGUCGGAAUCGCUAGUAAUCGCGGAUCAGAACGCCGCGGUGAAUACGUUCUCGGGGUUU